Molecule: ribosomal RNA, 490 nt
Filed under: uncultured bacterium
Lineage: Bacteria
Description: partial 16S ribosomal RNA
Rfam family: Bacterial small subunit ribosomal RNA
Source: RNAcentral
AUUGAACGCUGGCGGCAGGCCUAACACAUGCAAGUCGAACGGUAACAGAAAGCAGCUUGCUGCUUUGCUGACGAGUGGCGGACGGGUGAGUAAUGUCUGGGAAACUGCCUGAUGGAGGGGGAUAACUACUGGAAUCGGUAGCUAAUACCGCAUAACGUCGCAAGACCAAAGAGGGGGACCUUCGGGCCUCUUGCCAUCGGAUGUGCCCAGAUGGGAUUAGCUAGUAGGUGGGGUAACGGCUCACCUAGGCGACGAUCCCUAGCUGGUCUGAGAGGAUGACCAGCCACACUGGAACUGAGACACGGUCCAGACUCCUACGGGAGGCAGCAGUGGGGAAUAUUGCACAAUGGGCGCAAGCCUGAUGCAGCCAUGCCGCGUGUAUGAAGAAGGCCUUCGGGUUGUAAAGUACUUUCAGCGGGGAGGAAGGGAGUAAAGUUAAUACCUUUGCUCAUUGACGUUACCCGCAGAAGAAGCACCGGCUAACUCCGUG